ACGGCAGCGCGGGCUUCGGCCUGGCGUCGAGUGGCGAACGGGUGAGUAAGACAUCGGAACGUGUCCUGGAGUGGGGGAUAGCCCGGCGAAAGCCGGAUUAAUACCGCAUACGAUCUGUGGAUGAAACGCGGGGGACCGAAAGGCCUCGCGCUCAAGGGGCGGCCGAUGGCAGAUUAGCUAGUUGGUGGGGUAAAGGCCUACCAAGGCGACGAUCUGUAGCUGGUCUGAGAGGACGACCAGCCACACUGGGACUGAGACACGGCCCAGACUCCUACGGGAGGCAGCAGUGGGGAAUUUUGGACAAUGGGGGCAACCCUGAUCCAGCAUUGACGCGUGUGUGAAGAAGGCCUUCGGGUUGUAAAGCACUUUUGUCCGGAAAGAAAACUUCGGGGCUAAUACCUCUGGAGGAUGACGGCACCGGAAGAAUAAGCACCGGCUAACUACGUGCCAGCAGCCGCGGUAAUACGUAGGGUGCGAGCGUUAAUCGGAAUUACUGGGCGUAAAGCGUGCGCAGGCGGUUCGCUAAGACCGAUGUGAAAUCCCCGGGCUUAACCUGGGAACUGCAUUG
RNAcentral lists this ribosomal RNA (568 nucleotides) under uncultured Burkholderia sp. RNAcentral's name for it is "bacterial SSU rRNA". It matches the Rfam family "Bacterial small subunit ribosomal RNA", at positions 66 to 628 of the family's 1533-position model. The record is from RNAcentral. Lineage: Bacteria; Pseudomonadati; Pseudomonadota; Betaproteobacteria; Burkholderiales; Burkholderiaceae.